This 584-nucleotide small RNA is filed under the name Pan troglodytes (chimpanzee). Its description in RNAcentral is "processed transcript". Lineage: Eukaryota; Metazoa; Chordata; Mammalia; Primates; Hominidae. The record is from RNAcentral.
CGGGUCCGAGCCGCACAGUCCCAGGGCUCCGCGCCCCGGAACCGCAGCUCAGCCCGGGCUCGGACGCCUCCGAGGUCCGCGCCUGGCUGCAGGCCAAGGGCUUUAGCUCCGGAAGGAGGAGCUGCGGGCGGUGAGCCCCGAGGAGGGGGCACGUGUGUACAGCCAGGUCACCGUGCAGCGCGCGCUGCUGGAGGACAAAGAGAAAGUGUCAGAGCUGGAGGCAGUGAUGGAGAAGCAAAAGAAGAAGGUGGAAGGCGAGGUGGAAAUGGAGGUCAUUUGACCUGCCAGGCGCCCUUCGCAGAGUGACGAGGCCCCGUGGGAGAACGGACUCUUCAGACUCUCCCCAAUAGCGGAAGUCGAUCUUCUGAAGGAUGGCCAAUCUGCUCCGGCCCUGGUCUUCCCCCAUCCCGGUGGACAGACUUAACGAUCCUUGCUGCAGUCCCUCCGGAGAGGAUCUGGACUGGCUGGGAGUGGGGAGGGCGUGGAGACAGUCUACGGAAAGCGCUAGCAGACCCCCGAGAGGGUGCAGUGGAGCCCUGAGCAUUGUAAUAUGCCGCCCAGCCUAUAAACAGCCUCCUUGCUGA